GUACACACCGCCCGUCACACCAUGGGAGUUGGUUUUACCUUAAGACGGUGYGCYAACCGCAAGGARGCAGCCGGCCACGGUAAGGUCAGCGACUGGGGUGAAGUCGUAACAAGGUAGCCGUAGGUGAACCUGCAGAAGGAUCA
RNAcentral lists this ribosomal RNA (143 nucleotides) under uncultured eukaryote. RNAcentral describes it as "partial small subunit ribosomal RNA". The record is from RNAcentral.